UGAAUUUGCUGCCACAAUACAGACUUAAGUUAAAUGUGUCGUUAAGGUUAAUUUUGCUUACCUAUGCCUAUGUGCCUUGGGCAUAUGCAGUAAGUAUGACUGGCUAUAGUGAAGGGGAGGGGGGGUAGAAAGAAAGCCUGUUUCUUUAUGUCUCACCCAGUUUUCCCUUCCAGCAGCCACCUCUGCUGGCAGCUGCCUCCCGGUGCCGAAGGAGCUGCAGGUGAGGGGCCGCUGUUUCAAAGCACAGAGCCAGUCUGAGCUUCCAGGCUGAUCCAGGGAACAGGAAUUGCGCUGUGCUAAUGAACUCGUGAUGGAUUGAUCUCCUGCUCCUCCUGAAGGAGGCAUUUCACAGCUUUUUCAUUCUAUGAGCCCAGUGAGACCAGUUUAAGCAGCGCAGCAGUUCAUGGAUGGAAGAAGAGUCCUCGUUUCAGAACACCUAAACACGAAGAUCUUACAAAUGCUGUUAGGAGAGCUGGCGUGCAGGAGGAAUGAAUCUGGUCUGUCUUCUGUGAUUCUUGACCCACCUAAUUGGCUAAUGGCCACAAGCAAUAACAGCACGGCUCAGGGGAGCAGCGCUGGGGAGAGCUGCAGCCGCUCGGGGCAGAGGAGCACUGCGCCGUACCAAAGGCAUUGCAUGUGA
Molecule: long non-coding RNA, 640 nt
Filed under: Coturnix japonica (Japanese quail)
Lineage: Eukaryota; Metazoa; Chordata; Aves; Galliformes; Phasianidae
Description: lncRNA (ENSCJPG00005012402.1)
Source: RNAcentral